CCUACGUGAGACAGCAGUGAGGAAUAUUGGUCAAUGGACGAGAGUCUGAACCAGCCAAGUAGCGUGAAGGAUGACUGCCCUAUGGGUUGUAAACUUCUUUUAUAUGGGAAUAAAAUGUUCCACGUGUGGGAUUUUGUAUGUACCAUAUGAAUAAGGAUCGGCUAACUCCGUGCCAGCAGCCGCGGUAAUACGGAGGAUCCGAGCGUUAUCCGGAUUUAUUGGGUUUAAAGGGAGCGUAGGUGGAUUGUUAAGUCAGUUGUGAAAGUUUGCGGCUCAACCGUAACAUUGCAGUUGAAACUGGCAGUCUUGAGUACAGUAGAGGUGGGCGGAAUUCGUGGUGUAGCGGUGAAAUGCUUAGAUAUCACGAAGAACUCCGAUUGCGAAGGCAGCUCACUGGACUGCAACUGACACUGAGGCUCGAAAGUGUGGGUAUCAAACAGGAUUAGAUACCCGAGUAGUC
This 460-nucleotide ribosomal RNA is filed under the name uncultured bacterium. Its description in RNAcentral is "partial 16S ribosomal RNA". It matches the Rfam family "Bacterial small subunit ribosomal RNA", at positions 338 to 795 of the family's 1533-position model. The record is from RNAcentral.